Molecule: long non-coding RNA, 2392 nt
Filed under: Cinara cedri
Lineage: Eukaryota; Metazoa; Arthropoda; Insecta; Hemiptera; Aphididae
Source: RNAcentral
GUACUUUUUAAUAUUUUUAUAUAAGUAUGGUAACUUAUAACUUAAAAAAAAAUAACAAUAAUAUAAUAAUAAAGAAAUACAAUAAUAUUAUCUCAAACGGUUCUCUUCUGUGGGUUGUCACUGAGAAUUUAAAAUAUCUCAUAAAACAAAACAAAAAUAUAUGUAAGUAUAUAAAUUUCAGAUUUAUCAAAGACGAAUAGACGAUAUAUUGACAAAAAUAAAAAAUUUCGGACGCAAAAAACUGACGGGAUUACGCUCGAGACAAAAAUUGAUUUUAUUUUAAAAAAUAUCAUUGCAUGUGGUGAAACAGGUGGUCGAAAUAACAGGCGUUUAGGUACAUAAGACUUUAUACAAAAACAAGGUUGAUACAUUUUAUAUGAGACAAAAAAAAAAAAAUGUUCAACAUAUUUAAAAUUAGUGGCUAGAAUUUUUUCAAGGAAGAUAGAAUAGGUAAGGUAGGUCAGAAGACCUGUGAAAGUUAAAAAAAAAAAUUUCGACUUAAGUGAUUUUGCAGAGAUUAUCAAAAUAUAGGACAAAUAACCCCCGUUUUUUUCUCUGUGACAUAUCCCCCAGCAUAUUAAAAAAUAUUUGGGACAAAAUAUUGAAUACCUAUUCAAUAUUUAAAAAAAAAAAAAAAAAUUAUAAUUUUGAAUUAAAUUAAACUAAUAUAGAACAAUUACAUAUAAACAUUAAUUUAUGACAAAUUUAGCUGUAUAAUUUUUGAUACAUUUAUAUGAAUACUAUAUGAACUGGAAGGGGGAGAUUUUGUCAAAGAUCAUCAAAUGCAAAGAUUUUAUCUGUUUACCAAUCUAUAUGGUAAGAAAGGGGAGGGGGUAUAUCCCUUCUCCCAGUAAAUACGUUGCUACUGCAUGCCUACAAUAAUAAUACAAUAUAACAAUAACUAUUACAUUUUACUUUUUUUUCUUAUGGGUUUUGUGUAAAAAUCAACAUUGCGAUCAAACGCGUUUUUAUUUUUCUUGAGUGACAACCCUCUUUAUUGUGCGUGUGUGUCUGUUGUACAUACCAAUAACACUAUAAUCCAAUCUAUAAAAAAACAAAACGUCGCGUGUAUACGUGAAAUCAGUCGCACGAAAAUAUUAUUUUCGUUUAAAACUUUAAAUGUUUUUACACACAAGAAGUAUGAUUUUGUAUCUAUGACUAUAGUAUCGUUUAUAUAGAUGGUACCGGUUUAGAGUACAUUGUUAUAGUAUAAUGCGGCCCCACGAUAAAUUUUUCGGUCUCUAUUUAUCUUGCAUGUUUCUACCAUUGAUUAUUCAAUAGACCCGCGGUAAAAUAAAUAAGUAAAUAUUUGUACAAUUAAUGUUUUGAAUGAAUCUAAUAUUAUAAUUUAUAUUUUUAUAUUAAUUAUAUUGAGGUAUUUUACUAUCUUACACUCUGAUCAUUUUGAAAUAAAUUUAAAAACAAUAUGAAUAGUUCGAUUUUUAGUUAUAAGUGGCACGCGAAAAGAAAAAGUUUGAAAACCUCUGAAUAGACAGAUGGCCUACGGUAUGGGAAUAUUUGGCUACCACUCGUGAGACGCAGUCGCUGUGGAGCGCUGGAAUUGUUUGCACGAGAAUCGAUCGAUUAUAGCGCUUCAUAGUGGCUGCAUCCCACGGCCGAUAGUCAAAUAUUAACAUUCUUGAGCUAUAUCUAUAUUAUAUAAUCAAUGGUACCAAUACAUUUUCCUAAUUAUAACCUACCGUUCUACCAAUAAUUGUGGCUUGUUUGUUGUUUUAUUUUUUCUUUUUACUCGUAUUUUAAGUAGAUCCACGGUGGAAAUAUUGACGUAUUGCUUGUUUCAUCGUCGCUAAAUUCGAUAUUGUGUUUAUUAUAUUUUAUAAUAAUAUGCAUAUUCCGUUUCGAAAAUGAUAGUAUUGGAUUACGAUUUAAUAAUUAUCGCUUCAAGCAUUUCGCAUAAAUAACCCAACGGUCCAUGUCAGUUGCUUCGUACGUGGAGACUUUUGCACGGGUAGCGAAUUUCGCGAUAAUUUUGACUACUAUACUAACAUCAUAUAACAUUGAACGGAUCCGGCACGAGAAAUAUGCUAUACCCAAGCCAUAACGUCCGGGGGUAUUGAAUAAUAAUAACAAUAUAUACCUAGUCGAACACAACCUUGACCCGAGCGACUCUGACCUAACCGUUUAGAGGUUUUCGGGUGAACAAAUAGCAAUAAUCGUAGUCGGUGGUCUUUUGAGCACAGUAAAUAUGUAGGUGCGAAAAACUAUACGGAAUCGGCCCUCUGAUCGUGGACAUGUGGGAUGAAAAAAGCCUUAAACCGGUACCAUUAAUCGUUAUUAUAAUGUAUAAUAUUCUAUUCCGUACACGCUCGAGAAACGAAAACUUUUUCCGGGUUGCUUCUUGGUCGCCGUACAGUUACACGAGAAAAAAAAA